GUCCUAGCAAGUUACACGGAGGAGUGCAGGGAGAAGGAUCCGAACGUGCAAGAGAGCUACUAACUUUCUCUUUCAAGAGGAAGAAAAAUGGAGGCGGACACACUAAUUGACCUGCGGAAAGACAGAAAAUUUUCUUAGAAGAAUAACAGAGAUCUUAGAGGCAAAGGAUCACAUCUUGCUUUGCAGAAAAGAAAAAAGUUUACCAACAUGGUGGAGAGCAUCAGGCCCGAGCCCCGACCACCUACAUUCAGAUCCCACCCACGGCAUAAUUGCGGG
Molecule: long non-coding RNA, 276 nt
Filed under: Fukomys damarensis (Damara mole-rat)
Lineage: Eukaryota; Metazoa; Chordata; Mammalia; Rodentia; Bathyergidae
Description: lncRNA (ENSFDAG00000025880.1)
Source: RNAcentral